RNAcentral lists this ribosomal RNA (711 nucleotides) under uncultured bacterium. RNAcentral describes it as "bacterial SSU rRNA". It matches the Rfam family "Bacterial small subunit ribosomal RNA", at positions 772 to 1482 of the family's 1533-position model. The record is from RNAcentral.
ACAGGAUUAGAUACCCUGGUAGUCCACGCUGUAAACGAUGAAUGUUAAAUAUGGGAAGUUUACUUUCUGUAUUAUAGCUAACGCGUUAAACAUUCCGCCUGGGGACUACGGUCGCAAGAUUAAAACUCAAAGGAAUUGACGGGGACCCGCACAAGCGGUGGAGCAUGUGGUUUAAUUCGAUGCAACGCGAAAAACCUUAUCACUCCUUGACAUGGAAAUUAUACCUAUUCGAAGGGAUAGGGUCGGUUCGGCCGGAUUUCACACAGGUGUUGCAUGGCUGUCGUCAGCUCGUGUCGUGAGAUGUUGGGUUAAGUCCCGCAACGAGCGCAACCCUCAUCCUUAGUUACCAUCAGGUAAUGCUGGGGACUUUAAGGAAACUGCCAGUGAUAAACUGGAGGAAGGUGGGGAUGAUGUCAAGUCAUCAUGGCCCUUAUGGAGUGGGCUACACACGUGCUACAAUGGUGGCUACAAUGGGCUGCAAAGUCGCGAGGCUAAGCUAAUCCCUUAAAAGCCAUCUCAGUUCGGAUUGUACUCUGCAACUCGAGUGCAUGAAGUUGGAAUCGCUAGUAAUCGUGGAUCAGCACGCCACGAUGAAUACGUUCUCGGGUCUUGUACACACUGCCCGUCACGCCAUGGGAAUUGGUUUCACUCGAAGCUAACGACCUAACCGCAAGGAGGGAGUUAUUUAAAGUGGGAUCGGUGACUGGGGUG